Molecule: long non-coding RNA, 1157 nt
Filed under: Fukomys damarensis (Damara mole-rat)
Lineage: Eukaryota; Metazoa; Chordata; Mammalia; Rodentia; Bathyergidae
Description: lncRNA (ENSFDAG00000031425.1)
Source: RNAcentral
ACGGAUAAGCCUUAAAACCAUACUUUUUUUUUUGGUACCGGGCUCCUGCGCUUGCCAGCCAGGUGGCAGAACCACUGAGCUAAAUCCCUGACCCUUGAUCAUACUCUUAAGUGCAAUAAACUGGACACACAUUUAAAUACCACAUUGCUUCUCUGGGGUAAGAAACUGAAUGUGGAAAUAAGGACUGAGCUGUACAAUGGAGGUUGGGAAAUGGAAAGAAAGUGUUCAGAUGGGAGAGGGAACGAGGGAGGAGGGAGGGAGGAAGGAAGGAAGGGACAAGAAGAAAGUGAAAAGUAGAAGGAAACAUGAAAACAAAGCUUUUGUACAUAGGGAGGGGAAAGGGCUGAGGGGGAUAAGAUAAAAUUAAAUUAAAUUUAAAAAGAAAGAGCUGAUGACGCCAAAAAGGAGAAGAGAAGAACAAGAUAGUGAAGAGUGAAGGGGCUGGGUGUGGUGGCGCACACCUGUGAUCCCAGCACUCAGCAGGCUGAGGCAGGAGGAUCCCUAUGAGCUUGAGCUACAGAGUGAGUUCAAGGCCAGCCUGAACUACACAGCCAGACCCUGUCACAACCCACACAGAGAAUGAGUGACAGCCAGCAGGAAAGGAGGGGAGUACUGGACACCAGCUGGUGGCGUCACCCAAAGCUGGGCCCUUCCUGCAGGAGCCUGGCCCCACCACAAGGCACUCAGCCCACACUGGCUGACAGAUCAAAGGGGGAACACAGUGGGAGGCCGCCCUAACCACGGGCCACACCUCCCUCCAGGACUCUGUCAGCUCCUCCACCAGGCCAGGCGCCAGAGGCGGUGUGGCCAGUAUAGUCACAGGCUGGGCCUGGCCCAUGGCUGGCGGGGUUGGCCCCCUAGGUACCUCCCACUGCCAGCCAGGGCGCCAGGCUACUGUGAUCUCCGGGAAAGAUCUGAACACAGCUCUGUUCUCCAAACAAAAUGCAGCACUGCGCAGCCCUCAAGAGAGGCAACCCAGCAAGACCUAUCACGUAAAGGUAAGGCCAUGCAGCCCUUUCCCCAAGUGUGCCAAGGAAGCGACAAGACAGCUGUCCCGUGUGGCAGAGCUGGCUACGAGCAGCACUUUGUCCUUCGCAGGAAACAUCAAAUCCUGCCACACAGCCCAGGAGCUGAGGGAGCAACAAGACCCUUCCUGA